UACGGAGGGGGCUAGCGUUGUUCGGAAUUACUGGGCGUAAAGGGCGCGCAGGCGGCUGCUCAAGUCAGGCGUGAAAGGCCUGGGCUCAACCCGGGAAUUGCGCUUGAGACUGGGAGGCUUGAGUAUGGGAGAGGGAUGUAGAAUUCCAGGUGUAGCGGUGAAAUGCGCAGAUAUCAGGAGGAACACCGGUGGCGAAGGCGGGUCUCUGGGCAGUAACUGACGCUGAGGAGCGAAAGCAUGGGGAGCGAACAGG
This 253-nucleotide ribosomal RNA is filed under the name uncultured bacterium. Its description in RNAcentral is "partial 16S ribosomal RNA". It matches the Rfam family "Bacterial small subunit ribosomal RNA", at positions 524 to 776 of the family's 1533-position model. The record is from RNAcentral.